AUUUGUCUGGUUAAUUCCGUUAACGAACGAGACCACAGCCUACUAAAUAGUGUGCGGUAUGGCAACAUAGCGUGGAGACUUCUUAGAGGGACAUUUCGGGUUUACCGAAAGGAAGUUUGUGGCAAUAACAGGUCUGUGAUGCCCUUAGAUGUUCUGGGCCGCACGCGCGCUACACUGACGAAUUCAACGAGCUUUUAUUUCUUUGAAACUAAAUUCCUUUAUCGGAAGAUAUGGGUAAUCUUUUAAUGUGCAUCGUGAUGGGGCUAGAUUUUUGCAAUUAUUAAUCUCCAACGAGGAACC
Molecule: ribosomal RNA, 300 nt
Filed under: Thraustochytriidae sp.
Lineage: Eukaryota; Bigyra; Thraustochytrida; Thraustochytriidae
Description: SSU rRNA
Rfam family: Eukaryotic small subunit ribosomal RNA
Source: RNAcentral